GUCCUUUUGAAUUUAAUUUAAGGUUUAACCUGCCCACUGAAAUUUUUUGAAGGGCCGCAGUAAUUUGACUGUGCAAAGGUAGCAUAAUCAUUAGUUUUUUAAUUGAAAGCUUGUAUGAAGGGUUGGACGAGGUAAAUUCUGUCUCUAUUUAAUUUUAUGUAGAAUUUAAUUUUUAAGUUAAAAAGCUUAAAUUUUUUUAAAAGACGAGAAGACCCUAUAGAUCUUUAUAUUAAAAAUAUUAAUUUUAAUUAAGAAUAUUUAAUUUUUUAGUAUUUAUAAUAUUUUAUUGGGGUAAUAAAAAGAUUAAAAUAAUUCUUUUUUUAUUCUAACAUUUAUUUAUGAUUAUAUGAUCCAAUUUUAUUGAUUAAAAGAUUAAGUUACCUUAGGGAUAACAGCGUAAUUUUUUUAGAGAGUUCAUAUCAAUAAAAAAGCUUGCGACCUCGAUGUUGGAUUAAAAAUUAUCUUAGGUGCAGAAGUUUAAGAUUUUGGUCUGUUCGACCAUUAAAUUUUU
This 511-nucleotide ribosomal RNA is filed under the name Agabus cf. lutosus/griseipennis IR-2002. Its description in RNAcentral is "partial 16S ribosomal RNA". It matches the Rfam family "Bacterial large subunit ribosomal RNA", at positions 1829 to 2597 of the family's 2925-position model. The record is from RNAcentral. Lineage: Eukaryota; Metazoa; Arthropoda; Insecta; Coleoptera; Dytiscidae.